Molecule: non-coding RNA, 215 nt
Filed under: Thiohalorhabdus denitrificans
Lineage: Bacteria; Pseudomonadati; Pseudomonadota; Gammaproteobacteria; Thiohalorhabdales; Thiohalorhabdaceae
Source: RNAcentral
GAAUCCCAACCUGCUCCAGGUUCCCCGAGCCUCGCGGCCGGGGUGAAACGGGAAGUCCGGACGGCCCGCACGGCCCAACCGGCGCUGCCCCCGCAACGGUAAGCGAGUGAUGGGCGGUCUUUGGCCACUGCGCCUGCGGGCGCGGGAAGGCAACCGUCCGGCGGCCCCGCCGCCAGCUCGUCAGCCCGGAGACCGGCCUGGAGCGGCUUGACCCA